This 430-nucleotide ribosomal RNA is filed under the name uncultured Acidobacteriota bacterium. RNAcentral's name for it is "bacterial SSU rRNA". It matches the Rfam family "Bacterial small subunit ribosomal RNA", at positions 1070 to 1499 of the family's 1533-position model. Lineage: Bacteria; Pseudomonadati; Acidobacteriota. The record is from RNAcentral.
AGAUGUUGGGUUAAGUCCCGCAACGAGCGCAACCCCUGCCUUUAGUUGCCACCAGGUUAUGCUGAGCACUCUAAAGGGACUGCCGGUGAAAAACCGGAGGAAGGUGGGGAUGACGUCAAGUCCUCAUGGCCUUUAUGUCCAGGGCUACACACGUACUACAAUGGGUGGCACAAUGAGUCGCAAACCCGCGAGGGGGAGCCAAUCUCAAAAAACCACUCUCAGUUCGGAUUGCAGUCUGCAACUCGACUGCAUGAAGCUGGAAUCGCUAGUAAUCGCUGAUCAGCAAGCAGCGGUGAAUACGUUCCCGGGCCUUGUACACACCGCCCGUCACAUCACGAAAGCCAGUUGUACUAGAAGCCGGCAAUUCAACCGCAAGGAGAUAGCCGUCCAAGGUAUGACUGGUGAUUGGGGUGAAGUCGUAACAAGGUAA